This 757-nucleotide ribosomal RNA is filed under the name Bacillus pichinotyi. Its description in RNAcentral is "bacterial SSU rRNA". It matches the Rfam family "Bacterial small subunit ribosomal RNA", at positions 51 to 786 of the family's 1533-position model. The record is from RNAcentral. Lineage: Bacteria; Bacillati; Bacillota; Bacilli; Caryophanales; Bacillaceae.
CUACAUGCAGUCGAGCGAUAUCUUUGGGAGCUUGCUCCCGAAGGUAUAGCGGCGGACGGGUGAGUAACACGUGGGCAACCUACCUUUAAGACUGGGAUAACUUCGGGAAACCGGAGCUAAUACCGGAUAAAUCUUUUCUACUCAUGUAGGAAAGCUGAAAGAUGGCUUAGGCUAUCACUUAUAGAUGGGCCCGCGGCGCAUUAGCUAGUUGGUGGGGUAACGGCUCACCAAGGCAACGAUGCGUAGCCGACCUGAGAGGGUGAUCGGCCACACUGGGACUGAGACACGGCCCAGACUCCUACGGGAGGCAGCAGUAGGGAAUCUUCCGCAAUGGACGAAAGUCUGACGGAGCAACGCCGCGUGAGUGAUGAAGGUUCUCGGAUCGUAAAACUCUGUUGUUAGGGAAGAAACAGUACCGUUCGAAUAGGGCGGUACCUUGACGGUACCUAAUUAGAAAGCCACGGCUAACUACGUGCCAGCAGCCGCGGUAAUACGUAGGUGGCAAGCGUUGUCCGGAAUUAUUGGGCGUAAAGCGCGCGCAGGUGGUUCCUUAAGUCUGAUGUGAAAGCCCCCGGCUCAACCGGGGAGGGUCAUUGGAAACUGGGGAACUUGAGUGCAGAAGAGGAAAGUGGAAUUCCACGUGUAGCGGUGAAAUGCGUAGAGAUGUGGAGGAACACCAGUGGCGAAAGGCGACUUUCUGGGUCUGUAACUGACACUGAGGCGCGAAACGUGGGAAGCGAAACAAGGAUUACAUACC